Molecule: unclassified non-coding RNA, 362 nt
Filed under: uncultured Chytridiomycota
Lineage: Eukaryota; Fungi; Chytridiomycota
Description: sequence contains ITS2
Source: RNAcentral
AACGCACAUUGCGCUUCUGGGUAUUCCCGGAAGCAUGCCCGUUUGAGAAUCAGUGAAAACAUCAGGCUCCCAGCACCUUAACCGGUGGGGGGAAACCUGGACUUGGGUCCAUUUGUUCAAGGUGGAAAACGGAACAAUGACCUAAAAUUCAAUGUCCGCGGUUCCGCCGUAUGUGGAAGCGUUGGCCUGAGUGCUGGAACUGAACCUUUUGGUUUUUCUCUGUACCACUCGUGGCUUGCUUCUAACGCGUCGUGCAUGCCGUGUUAAGAAUCAUAACUGAUUGUACGCUCGGAUUGUGGCCGUCAGGUCGCAGUCCUUGUUAACUUGGUCUCAAAUCGGGUAGGAAAACCCGCUGAACUUAA